RNAcentral lists this ribosomal RNA (253 nucleotides) under uncultured bacterium. RNAcentral's name for it is "partial 16S ribosomal RNA". It matches the Rfam family "Bacterial small subunit ribosomal RNA", at positions 524 to 776 of the family's 1533-position model. The record is from RNAcentral.
GACGUAGGGCGCGAGCGUUGUCCGGAUUUAUUGGGCGUAAAGAGCUCGUAGGCGGCUUGUCGCGUCGUCCGUGAAAACCCACGGCUUAACUGUGGGCUUGCGGUCGAUACGGGCAGGCUAGAGUUCGGUAGGGGAGACUGGAAUUCCUGGUGUAGCGGUGAAAUGCGCAGAUAUCAGGAGGAACACCGGUGGCGAAGGCGGGUCUCUGGGCCGAUACUGACGCUGAGGAGCGAAAGCGUGGGGAGCGAACAGG